RNAcentral lists this ribosomal RNA (205 nucleotides) under uncultured bacterium. Its description in RNAcentral is "partial 16S ribosomal RNA". It matches the Rfam family "Bacterial small subunit ribosomal RNA", at positions 568 to 774 of the family's 1533-position model. The record is from RNAcentral.
AGCGCAGGUGGACGUAUAGGUCCUUCUUAAAAGUUCGGGGCUCAGCCCCGUGAGGGGAAGGAAACCAUGCGUCUUGAGUGCAGGAGAGGGAAGCGGAAUUCCUGGUGUAGCGGUGAAAUGCGUAGAUAUCAGGAAGAGCACCAGUGGCGAAGGCGGCUUUCUGGACUGCAACUGACACUGAGGCUCGAGAGCCAGGGAGCGAACG